This 482-nucleotide ribosomal RNA is filed under the name uncultured bacterium. RNAcentral describes it as "bacterial SSU rRNA". It matches the Rfam family "Bacterial small subunit ribosomal RNA", at positions 10 to 483 of the family's 1533-position model. The record is from RNAcentral.
UAUUUGAUCAUGGCUCAGUGACGANACGCUGGCGUGCGUGCCUAAUACAUGCAAGUCGAGCGGUCCCUUCGGGGAUAGCGGCGGACGGGUGAGUAACACGUAGGCAACCUGCCUGUAAGACUGGGAUAACUAUCGGAAACGAUAGCUAAGACCGGAUAGCUGGUUCUCUCGCAUGAGAGGAUCAUGAAACACGGGGUAACCUGUGGCUUACAGAUGGGCCUGCGGCGCAUUAGCUAGUUGGUAGGGUAACGGCCUACCAAGGCGACGAUGCGUAGCCGACCUGAGAGGGUGAUCGGCCACACUGGGACUGAGACACGGCCCAGACUCCUACGGGAGGCAGCAGUAGGGAAUCUUCCGCAAUGGACGCAAAUCUGACGGAGCAACGCCGCGUGAGUGAUGAAGGUUAUNACGGAUCGUAAAGCUCUGUUGCCAGGGAAGAACGCCCAAGAGAGUAACUGCUCUUGAAGGUGACGGUACCUGAG